Molecule: transfer RNA, 68 nt
Filed under: Rubrivirga marina
Lineage: Bacteria; Pseudomonadati; Rhodothermota; Rhodothermia; Rhodothermales; Rubricoccaceae
Also listed under: 2 other names
Rfam family: tRNA
About the family: Transfer RNA (tRNA) molecules are approximately 80 nucleotides in length. Their secondary structure includes four short double-helical elements and three loops (D, anti-codon, and T loops).
Source: RNAcentral
GGGAAUAGCUCAGUUGGUAGAGCAUCAGCUUCCCAAGCUGAGGGUCGCGGGUUCGAGUCCCGUUUCCC